UUUCAGAGUUCGAGCCGAUCAAGGUGUUGAAAAUGUAGAUAUUGCUCGAUGCAUGUUUACAGUACGAGGGACUGGUCGUGGCAGUUUCAUUGCAGGCAAAAGCGUCCAUAACCAGAGAGUGGAACGACUAUGGAGAGACCUUUGGAGUGUAACAUGCCAGUACUACAACGUACUCCACAGUUUGGAGGAAGAGGGGUGUCUAGACCUAUCCAAUACUGUCCAUCUCUACUGUGUUGGAUAUGUCUUUAUACCACGACUCCGAUCAGAUCUGCAUCACUUUACAGAGAGCUGGAACUGCCACCCCUUGCGCACCGAGGGAAAUCUGACUCCAAAUCAACUCUGGAUGAUAGGGAUGUUGCAAGCACCCGUGGCAGAACCCCUGGUAGAGAUCCAGCAAACUGAAGAGCAGCCUCCUUGUGCCCCUUGUGACGAUGACACCAGUGAACAUGGAGUGGUUGUUCCAGACAUCCAAUGCCCCCUGUCAGAGGAAAGACUUUUGGCACUACAACAAAUAAAUCCAAAUGCUGAGUUAUCCAGCUGUGGUCGAGACAUACCGUAUUUUCACGACCAAAAGGCGCACUGUACCAAAAGGCGCAGUCUCAGUUAUGUGUGCCAUUACAGUAUUUAAAACACACAUAAGGCGCACCUGAUUAUAUGGCGAGGGUUUUAUAUACAAUCCACGCCCACACUUCCCCCUUUAACGUUCUCAUGGUGUCCUCUACUACGUCGGCCUUACAACAACAACACACACACAAGCAUACAAGUGUGCGUAUUUAAAAAUAGAGCCGGAGCAAAACUGAGUUUGGUAUUCACUUUUUUUUUUUUUACCGGUAAUCGUCAUCAAUCAAACCCAUGGAAGUCCUCAUCCUCUGUUUCUGAAUUGAACAGCUGCGCUAAACCUCCAUCAAACAUGCCAGGUUCACUUUCUUCACUGUCAGAGUCACUUUCCGUGCCGUGCGGCGCCUCGGAAAUGAUGCCGGCUUUUGCGAAAGCUCGAACAACAGUGCCAGCAGACACGUUAGCCCAAGCAUUUACAAUCCAUUCGCAAAUUGUGGCGUAACUCGCCCGGCGCUGCCUUCCACUCUUAGUGAAACUGUGGUCUCCAUCGGUCAUCCAUCGCUCCCACGCCGCUCGCAGCCUUACUUUGAACGGCCGGUUCACACCGAUGUCCAGCGGUUGGAGUUCCUUUGUCAGGCCUCCCGGAAUGACAGCAAGCUCAGAGUUCAUUUGCUUCACUUGUUUUUUCACAUCGGCUGUGAGAUGGGCACGCAUAGAGUCACAGAUCAACAGCGAUGGUGAUGCGUGGAAAAAACCACCUGGUCUACGUCCGCCUUACAACAACAACACACACAGGACGCACUGCACCAUAGGGCGCGCCGCACAAUUUGAAGAAAAUCUAAGACUUUUAUGUGCGCCUUAUAGUCGUGAAAAUACGGUACUUGCAGGCUCUCAAUGUUGCCAGUGGUUUCUAAAAUCUAGUGGACAGUCAUGAAAGAAGCAGGCUGGAUCAAAGUGGCAUACCAUUUUUUGAAACAGACCAGAAUAAAUUUGCAUGUGAUUCACAUGAAA
Long non-coding RNA from Acanthochromis polyacanthus (spiny chromis), 1569 nucleotides. RefSeq lists it as uncharacterized. The transcript has 3 exons. NCBI's taxonomy places the organism in Eukaryota, Metazoa, Chordata, Actinopteri, Pomacentridae. The record is from RefSeq and is a predicted model, not a curated record.